GCUUGUUGAACAGUCCAUUUUGAUAUGAGGGAUUCCUAUGAUUGAUUAGGGAUAAUAUUUCAGAAAGUGUGUGCCAUUCAACCACUGUAUGCCAUUUUUGAAUCAAGGACUAUGCAAAUUACGUAGGUGGUCAACCACAUCAUAGGAACUACUGAGUCGUUGAUAAUCAGACCGGUGGAGAAGACUUCCUUGGACUUGCCUAGGGCGAUUGGAUUUUGGGUCAAUCCUUACCGUCUGCGAUGAACAGCAGUGGCGCACACGGAUGCGAUGAUUUCUCGAGUGGUUUGUGUUGUUUGUACCAUGCACUUUGAUCACCAAUAUAGCUUCCCUGUCUCUGGUGUCUUCACACCAUGAGUUUUGAGGGACACCAUCAACAAACUCUUCUAGGGUGGGGAAAUCCUCAAGAUGAACAGAUACCUCUGCAAUAUGGUCUGGUUUAAUUACACCAGCUGCUGGAAUGACCUCAAGCCAUCGAGGAAAACCAAAGGAACCUCUUGGAUGAUGAUCUGAUGCACGUCCAUCUUCAUUAAUUGUAGAUUGACCUUCACAAAUAAUUUCAAAUAGAGCAACACUUUUCCCACAUUUAUUUGUGAUACGCAAAAUGGUUGUAUCCUGGUUUUGAAGGAUUAUAUUAUUUGUGCUGACAAUAGUUUCUGGAAUCUUGCAUUGUUCUUCAAGCAAGUGUCUAAUUUCCUCAUUCGAUUUCAUUAUGUCCCCAAAUUCUUGUCUCCUAACUGACUCAUCAACUCGUGCAAUAUCAACACUAAAUAUGCAACGCACAGGCUUGUGAUCACUAUCAGUGACAUCCAUGCAAGCAUCAUACUGUGAUAUCAGAGAGACAACAGGACAGUCUAAACUGGAUUCAGACACCUGAGUUGACCGGCUAUCCCGGUAAAGUAUUCUAUCACACCAUGCAGGGACACGCUUUUUUUCACCUGAAUCAUAACCUGCUAAACCAGGUUGAUGUUUGUCAAACUUGUAUGUAGGAGGAAAUCUAAUAACUGCUUCCCGCAUUCCUUGGAAGACAUUCCCAUCUUCCAUUUCUGCUCGGAGCUGAUCCCUUUCUCUAAGCCAAUCAAAGCAUCUUUGAGAAAUGAAGUCCCUUGCUUCAUCAUAAGUCCCACCAAGCCUAUAAUUGAAGUCGCCAAGAAAUAUGACCAUGUCUGCCUCAGAUAACUCAGGCAUUCCUUCUGAAGAAUUG
RNAcentral lists this unclassified non-coding RNA (1201 nucleotides) under Hevea brasiliensis (rubber tree). The record is from RNAcentral. Lineage: Eukaryota; Viridiplantae; Streptophyta; Magnoliopsida; Malpighiales; Euphorbiaceae.